CUCAAGUACUGGAACGAUGGCCUCAAGUUGACCUUUGAGUGGAACAACACUCUUAUCUUUCUGCAUGUUUGUUGAGAAUUUAGUGAAUAUAGCAACACUCUUGGUAACAAGUCACAGUAAAGAAAAACAAGUGCAGUUCAUCAAUGAAGCAGUAACUGGGUUGGACUGUUUCACAGUAAAUUGAACAGUGCAUUAUCAACUGGAAUCCAUACUCAGUCAUACAGUUCUAAGUUUGAGCCAUAAAACACCAUAGCUACUUGAACAAGAAGCAGGAUGUUGUGAACGAAAGACACAUUCCAUCAUUUCAAGGGAAGUGGACAGAACUCAGGAAUCCUACAGACAACCAACUUAAUUAUUGCAUCAAAAUCACUGUGCAUUUCAUACCUUCAAAUACAGCUUAUGCUCCCCUAGAGUAGCAAUUAGGGAUGCAACUUCAGCUUCUUUGGUGGCCACAGACUGAUGCAGCUGGACCCUAGUCCGAUUGGCAUCGUCCACCUUCCUGCGAUUUGCUGGUUGCCAGAACCAAGAAACAGCAGUGCGUGACUUAUGGAAGCAAUACUGUAAUUGUACUACAAACUUAUGGACAAAAGUAGCAAUCUUAGCAUGUUACAGUUAAGGAAGCAGGCAGUUAAAGAGUACACGUUUUAAUCAUUAGGGCCUGAUUCAUGUACUCCCCAUGAGCAUCUUAAAUGGUAAAUUUAAGCAGUAAUAAAGUUUUCUAACCAAGAAAUUACACUGCAUGGAAAGAAACAGUACUGUUUGAUUUCACAAAAGAGCAUAUUUGCCCGCAUCUAACUGCCUGCCGCACUGGCCUGAACCGAAUCAAUGAAUUGCUUUUUGAGCAGCUGAAGAACCAGGAGGGUAAAAAGAGAGAGCCUUACACACAAAAAAGGGCCUGCGUUUCAGCAAAAGCGACACCAACCAACAAAAACAGGGCAACACAUACAGGAGGAAUACUAACAUACAGAAAAAGGUGCAACUUUUGUGCAACAAGAAUAAGCACAAGAGCACUGAGCUCUUCAGCAUCGCUGAAGAAACUUCGGCUCUGGGACAAACAAACGAGAGAGAUUCACAAGGGUGCCAGAAUCUGCAAAUGAAUUCCUACUGUAACAUUUCACCAGAAAACGUGGUGAAUUCUGAAUGAUUCCGACGAGAAACACGCAUGAAAGAACAAUUUAACAAAACGGAACCUAGAACUGUCACUCCAGAAAGGUAAAUAAGAACCAGGAAGACAGAGGCAGCAUUCAGCACAGGUAAGGAAAAAAAAAGGAAUUGCAGCCAAAGAACUAGUAACACAAGAGGUCAAGAAAACAGAAACUAUACUUCACUCAAGAACAGGAGCAGGAUGAGUACCUGAAGC
Molecule: long non-coding RNA, 1360 nt
Organism: Oryza brachyantha (malo sina)
Lineage: Eukaryota; Viridiplantae; Streptophyta; Magnoliopsida; Poales; Poaceae
Exons: 3
Source: RefSeq, a predicted model, not a curated record